GAGUUACGUUGAGAGGAGAGAUGUUUAGCAACUCCCUUGACAAGGACGAGAGCAAGACUUCGGUCUUCUCACAAACCUUCGGGUUAAGGCAAACCCAAUUUUGC
RNAcentral lists this non-coding RNA (104 nucleotides) under Klebsormidium nitens. The record is from RNAcentral. Lineage: Eukaryota; Viridiplantae; Streptophyta; Klebsormidiophyceae; Klebsormidiales; Klebsormidiaceae.